UAACGCGUGGGAAUCUGCCCUGGAGUGGGGGAUAACCGAGGGAAACCUCGGCUAAUACCGCAUACGGCCUGAGGGCGAAAGAUUUAUCGCUCUAGGAGGGGCCCGCGUCGGAUUAGCUUGUUGGCGGGGUAACGGCCCACCAAGGCUAUGAUCCGUAGCUGGUCUGAGAGGAUGAUCAGCCACACUGGGACUGAGACACGGCCCAGACUCCUACGGGAGGCAGCAGUGGGGAAUAUUGGACAAUGGGCGCAAGCCUGAUCCAGCAAUGCCGCGUGUGUGAUGAAGGCCUUAGGGUUGU
This 298-nucleotide ribosomal RNA is filed under the name uncultured Sphingomonadaceae bacterium. Its description in RNAcentral is "partial 16S ribosomal RNA". It matches the Rfam family "Bacterial small subunit ribosomal RNA", at positions 111 to 426 of the family's 1533-position model. Lineage: Bacteria; Pseudomonadati; Pseudomonadota; Alphaproteobacteria; Sphingomonadales; Sphingomonadaceae. The record is from RNAcentral.